This 84-nucleotide microRNA precursor is filed under the name Bombyx mori (domestic silkworm). Its description in RNAcentral is "mir-2807 microRNA precursor family". It matches the Rfam family "mir-2807 microRNA precursor family". The record is from Rfam by way of RNAcentral. Lineage: Eukaryota; Metazoa; Arthropoda; Insecta; Lepidoptera; Bombycidae.
UUAACUCAAAAUUGUAUGGUAUUGGAACGUUUACCUAAGUUUGCCGCUAGGGGCGCUAUUCCAAUUGCAUAUAAAUUUGAUUGA